This 253-nucleotide ribosomal RNA is filed under the name uncultured bacterium. RNAcentral describes it as "partial 16S ribosomal RNA". It matches the Rfam family "Bacterial small subunit ribosomal RNA", at positions 524 to 776 of the family's 1533-position model. The record is from RNAcentral.
UACGUAGGGUGCAAGCGUUAAUCGGAAUUACUGGGCGUAAAGCGUGCGCAGGCGGUUUUGUAAGUAAGAGGUGAAAGCCCCGGGCUCAACCUGGGAAUUGCGAUGGAGACUGCAAGGCUAGAAUCUGGCAGAGGGGGGUAGAAUUCCACGUGUAGCAGUGAAAUGCGUAGAGAUGUGGAGGAACACCGAUGGCGAAGGCAGCCCCCUGGGUCAAGAUUGACGCUCAUGCACGAAAGCGUGGGGAGCAAACAGG